Molecule: ribosomal RNA, 492 nt
Filed under: uncultured bacterium
Lineage: Bacteria
Description: partial 16S ribosomal RNA
Rfam family: Bacterial small subunit ribosomal RNA
Source: RNAcentral
AGUGAACGCUGGCGGUAGGCCUAACACAUGCAAGUCGAACGGCAGCACAGUAAGAGCUUGCUCUUACGGGUGGCGAGUGGCGGACGGGUGAGGAAUACAUCGGAAUCUACUUUUUCGUGGGGGAUAACGUAGGGAAACUUACGCUAAUACCGCAUACGACCUACGGGUGAAAGCAGGGGAUCUUCGGACCUUGCGCGAUUGAAUGAGCCGAUGUCGGAUUAGCUAGUUGGCGGGGUAAAGGCCCACCAAGGCGACGAUCCGUAGCUGGUCUGAGAGGAUGAUCCGCCACACUGGAACUGAGACACGGUCCAGACUCCUACGGGAGGCAGCAGUGGGGAAUAUUGGACAAUGGGCGCAAGCCUGAUCCAGCCAUACCGCGUGGGUGAAGAAGGCCUUCGGGUUGUAAAGCCCUUUUGUUGGGAAAGAAAAGCAGCAGGUUAACACCCCGCUGUUCUGACGGUACCCAAAGAAUAAGCACCGGCUAACUUCGUG